CAAAAAGUAGUUUAUAAAAAAUAAUAACAUUGGAAGUUAUUGAUCAAUAAAAAAAUUAUAUUUAUUGUUUUUUGA
Molecule: transfer RNA, 75 nt
Filed under: Opisthoteuthis californiana
Lineage: Eukaryota; Metazoa; Mollusca; Cephalopoda; Octopoda; Opisthoteuthidae
Description: tRNA-Pro
Source: RNAcentral